GUGGGCUACGGGGACAUGAAGCCCAUUACAGUGGGAGGAAAGAUUGUGGGGUCCUUGUGUGCCAUUGCGGGUGUCUUAACCAUUGCUUUGCCUGUGCCGGUGAUUGUGUCUAAC
Molecule: non-coding RNA, 114 nt
Organism: Mesocricetus auratus (golden hamster)
Lineage: Eukaryota; Metazoa; Chordata; Mammalia; Rodentia; Cricetidae
Source: Rfam